GACGAACCACACAACCGUUAUUCGGAAUUACUGGGCUUAAAGGGUGCGUAGGCGGCGCGGUAAGUCGGGUGUGAAAUCUCGGAGCUUAACUCCGAAACUGCAUUCGAUACUGCCGUGCUUGAGGACUGGAGAGGAGACUGGAAUUUACGGUGUAGCGGUGAAAUGCGUAGAUAUCGUAAGGAAGACCAGUGGCGAAGGCGGGUCUCUGGACAGUUCCUGACGCUGAGGCACGAAGGUCAGGGGAGCAAACGGG
This 253-nucleotide ribosomal RNA is filed under the name uncultured bacterium. Its description in RNAcentral is "partial 16S ribosomal RNA". It matches the Rfam family "Bacterial small subunit ribosomal RNA", at positions 524 to 776 of the family's 1533-position model. The record is from RNAcentral.